Molecule: ribosomal RNA, 714 nt
Filed under: Paraburkholderia sp.
Lineage: Bacteria; Pseudomonadati; Pseudomonadota; Betaproteobacteria; Burkholderiales; Burkholderiaceae
Description: bacterial SSU rRNA
Rfam family: Bacterial small subunit ribosomal RNA
Source: RNAcentral
ACGGGAGGCAGCAGUGGGGAAUUUUGGACAAUGGGCGCAAGCCUGAUCCAGCAAUGCCGCGUGUGUGAAGAAGGCCUUCGGGUUGUAAAGCACUUUUGUCCGGAAAGAAAACCUCCGCCCUAAUAUGGUGGGGGGAUGACGGUACCGGAAGAAUAAGCACCGGCUAACUACGUGCCAGCAGCCGCGGUAAUACGUAGGGUGCAAGCGUUAAUCGGAAUUACUGGGCGUAAAGCGUGCGCAGGCGGUUCGCUAAGACAGAUGUGAAAUCCCCGGGCUUAACCUGGGAACUGCAUUUGUGACUGGCGGGCUAGAGUAUGGCAGAGGGGGGUAGAAUUCCACGUGUAGCAGUGAAAUGCGUAGAGAUGUGGAGGAAUACCGAUGGCGAAGGCAGCCCCCUGGGCCAAUACUGACGCUCAUGCACGAAAGCGUGGGGAGCAAACAGGAUUAGAUACCCUGGUAGUCCACGCCCUAAACGAUGUCAACUAGUUGUCGGGUCUUCAUUGACUUGGUAACGUAGCUAACGCGUGAAGUUGACCGCCUGGGGAGUACGGUCGCAAGAUUAAAACUCAAAGGAAUUGACGGGGACCCGCACAAGCGGUGGAUGAUGUGGAUUAAUUCGAUGCAACGCGAAAAACCUUACCUACCCUUGACAUGUAUGGAACCCUGCUGAGAGGUGGGGGUGCCCGAAAGGGAGCCAUAACACAGGUGCUGCAU